GGCGAACGGGUGAGUAACACGUAGGUGAUCUAUCUUUGGGUCUGGGAUAGCCUGUGGAAACACAGGGUAAUACCGGAUACGACCUUACGGUUUCGGCCGUAGGGGGAAAGUCGCUUAGGCGACGUCCGAAGCUGAGCCUGCGGCUCAUUAGCUUGUUGGUAGGGUAAUGGCCUACCAAGGCGACGAUGAGUAGCCGGCCUGAGAGGGUGAUCGGCCACACUGGGACUGAGACACGGCCCAG
Molecule: ribosomal RNA, 241 nt
Filed under: uncultured bacterium
Lineage: Bacteria
Description: partial 16S ribosomal RNA
Rfam family: Bacterial small subunit ribosomal RNA
Source: RNAcentral